GUACUUUAUAAACUUGCGAAAGCUGCUUCACGUUGUUUAAUAAUUUGGGCUACGUGUUUUUUAUGAUCAAAUCAGUGGACUUUUGAUUAUUGUCCAAAAUGGCCCAAAUUAUUUAGGGUUGUUCAAUUUUAGCGGACGGAGUUGGAGAGUCAGCCGUCGUGGUUCUUCACAUCUCACCGACGACGAACGGCGAUCGUCUUUGUAACGGCACUUGGAAACAUUAAUCCAAGCAUUAACUUUUCUGCGCCACUCCUCCCACUCUCUUGAAUUAAAUUGGCCAUAGCAUUCUCUAAAGUAAUCCCCUGAAGCUUCAACUAUAAAUGGCUUUGUUGCUUGGGAUAAACAGUGGCGAGUUCAUCUGUUUUUCUUGCCGAUUUAAAAGCUGGAUGCUAUUCAAACACCGCCGAGGUCCCUCUCCUCAGAUUAAAAGAGGCAAGAAAUGUUAAGAAAGGUGGUCUCCAUAAAGAGAAUGUGACUCCGGCUAGCCACCACCGUGUUUUGUUAGCUCUUUCUACUCAACCUUUUGAUAGUCCGCUCUUAUUAUAUGUUUCUAAAACAGUCAAACUGUCAACGAGAAGGUACCUAUUCUUAUUCCUAAUUUUUUGUUUUUGGAUUUAACGUUAAACUAAGUCGUCACUAACCAUAAUUUAUUUACUCUGUUUUUUUUUUUCAGUUGAUUUUGUUUUUUUUGAAUAUUUUUUUCAGUUGAUUUUGAUUCAUGUUCAAUAGCUUAAUACUUUCAAAAAUCUAUUGAGGGAAGGAGUGAUGUAUGGGCUUCGUGGUGUUGAUGCCGCUGGAAGCACGUUUCACUGACCACACGAGCUUUGUUGAGGUCACGGAACAAGUGACCAUCCCAGCAGAGAAGUUUCGUUUUCAAAAGUAUGAUCAACUCAUGGCUUUGGCUAACACCAACGUAGAUUUGUCCGGUUUGUAUAACAAUUUUGAACUCAUACUUUAACCGUAUAGUAGUAUCAGCACUGUUUUCAAUAAUGAAAAUCAUUCCAUUCAUCAUGUGAUGAUAACAAUAAUGGAAAUAUGAGACUAAACCUGUGAUUCAAUUUCAUAUAAUGGAAAUAUUCCAGAACAAACUUAGGAUGAAUUGGAUGACUUCAAUGCUUGAAGAAAAUCUGCAACUCUGGAGAUGUAAAUGAAUGUAAAUCGAUGGAAGCUAAAAUCAGAAAACAAAAACUUGAUUUUGUGAAGCCUGCUCUAGGGCUUAGCUUAUUAUACGUUUUGUGUUCUGUAAAUAUUAUAUAAUUUUGGGGAUCUCGGAUGUUUUGUGGUUGUAAUUCAUGCCAUCAUUGAGAAGAGAAAAGUACACUCAUAUGGUUAUCAUAUGGUUAUUGAUUUUGUGCUGACUAAUAGAUUCCCGGUUAAAGGUGUAAUCAGAUUUAUCAGGAUGCCAUGAUGUGUAUCGUUCCAUAGGUACCUGCACGGCCUGAACUGCAGUUUUUUGGAGUUAAUGGUUCGUGACCCUCCAGUUUAUUAGGUUUCAGAUUGUCCCCCGGUGACCAGGAGAUAGUUGAUAUAAGAAGCUAUAUCAGGCAAUUUCAUUGAGUUUUUUUUUCUUGAAUUAUAUAGUUGGAUGUGUAACUGAUGAUUUUUGCAACUGUUUGUAUAAUUCAAGACUAGAUCAUGAUGUAGCAUUUUGAAAUAAUGCCAAUUGUAAAUAGUUGUUAAUCAAUGUUUGAGAUUUUUUCCAUACAUAUGCUGCCAUGAAGCUUUCUUAAUAUAAGAGAGAGGCGGAGGGACUGAAAAAAAAAACAGAGUAGAAAAGUUAUGACCUUAGACAUUUCAUUAGAUCUACGUAUUGCAAAACAACUCUUUGAUUUUCCAUACACAAUUUUUUGUGGAUUUAUACUAUUUGGAGAUGAUCAAUGAUUUUGCCAGAAUCUCGAGAAGCUUCUUGAAUGUUUUCUCAUAUUGCUACUUGAAUAUGGCAAUCACUUGAAAAGGUUAUAUAUAUGUGGAGCAUCAAUAUAAUGAUUAAAAUUAUAAUCAUCGCAUGUACUAAUGUCUAACACACGCAUUGUUUUUCUUUAGUUUUCUACAACACUUAUGAAAUAAGUUUAUGAUCCUUCUCAUUUGACGAUUUAAAAGCCAACUACGACAGGAGAGAUCUUAAGUUGCAACUAAUUAUGAAGUUCAACUCAUUCAUACUGUUUCAAUCAAUUUUGGUCUACAAUAACAAUGAUUCUCUAAAAAUUAAACAACGGCCAAAGCGUGAAACGGAUAACAAAACUUAAACCUUUUUUUUUUCAUUGACAAAACUUAAACCUAAAAACAUCACAAGAUGGUCUAACCCACCCAGGUAGGGUGAAUGGGUGAUAAUUUACAAACGUCCAUAUGAAAAUUACGUAUAAAAAAAAACAACUUAAAUCUAACGCGUCUUUAUCCCAAAAUUUAAAACGUAACUUGCACAGAAUUUUUAGCAAAAAAUACCAAAUAAUUUCCAAAAAAAACGAGAAUAUAAUUGUGGAAAAUUAAAAAAAAAACUACUACUUGAUUAAAUAAAAUAAUAAUAAACAGAGUGGUUUAAUCGUUUGAUCUAAGAUAACAACACAUAAAAUGCACUAACACUAUUAAGUUCUGACCCGUUUCACUUAUCUAAUGGUUUAAGUUAAUAGCCAAAACACUUAAAAACACAUACACGUUACAAGUAAUUACGGAAAAUUAACUCAGUCAAUAAUCACUGACAAGAACACUACCAUGCAUAAGUUGAAACAUUUAAUACAAUUGCAAAUUCCACAAAAAUAUAAAUUAGACCCUCCUGCUAGAAUAAAAAAACUCAUUAUCAAUACAAAAUUCCAAGAUGAACGGAGCUCACCCACUAUCAACACUCGAAGAACUCCCUCAAGACAUCCAAGGCGAUAUCAUCUCAAGAGUUGCACAGUCAUUAAGAACUACCGCACGUCAUGUCAUGCAAUCAUGCCCACUACUGGCCAAAGAAGCUAAAGACAACCGUAUUUACAAGAAUAUAUGACCAUCAAACUAUUAUCCAUCCAUCCAGUUGCUUCUUUGACAAGGUAUAACGAUCUCAUGUCAAAAUUUUUUUUUUCAGCUGAAAACAUAGAAGUUCAUUAUGAUAAAGGCAUUGAAGAAUAUUUUUUUAAAAACAAUCCCAAGCCGGCCUCCAUCAUCUACAAACAUCAGCAGACGUUUUGUACAUAGAUAUGCAAUUUACCUAUACGGUCUAACAAUGCUUUGCACGGGUGAGAAAAAUGUUGAUGAAACCUAUAUUAAUAAAAUUGGUUGGAAGCAAGACCAUAAAUUUGACGAUCAGUGUUCGAAUCGCUUUAAGAAAUUAUUACAAUGACAUUAAGAAAUUAGUACAUGGAGUUCGUGUUAAAAAACUCAAGUCUAUUAGACAAAAAAAAAACUCAAGUGUUACUCAACCACUUUAAAAGCAACGAAAGC
Molecule: long non-coding RNA, 3417 nt
Organism: Brassica rapa (field mustard)
Lineage: Eukaryota; Viridiplantae; Streptophyta; Magnoliopsida; Brassicales; Brassicaceae
Source: RefSeq, a predicted model, not a curated record